GUAGUCAUAUGCUUGUCUCAAAGAUUAAGCCAUGCAUGUCUAAGUAUAAGCAACUUUGUACUGUGAAACUGCGAAUGGCUCAUUAAAUCAGUUAUAGUUUAUUUGAUGGUUUUUUGCUACAUGGAUAACUGUGGUAAUUCUAGAGCUAAUACAUGCAUUCAAGCCCCGACUUCUGGAAGGGGUGUAUUUAUUAGAUAAAAAUCAACUUUGUUGGUGAAUCAUAAUAACUUCUCGGACCGCAUGGCCUCGUGCUGGCGGUGCUUCAUUCAAAUAUCUGCCCUAUCAACUGUCGAUGGUAGGAUAGAGGCCUACCAUGGUUGCAACGGGUAACGGGGAAU
This 338-nucleotide ribosomal RNA is filed under the name uncultured fungus. Its description in RNAcentral is "SSU rRNA". It matches the Rfam family "Eukaryotic small subunit ribosomal RNA", at positions 20 to 370 of the family's 1831-position model. The record is from RNAcentral. Lineage: Eukaryota; Fungi.